UACGUAGGGUGCAAGCGUUAAUCGGAAUUACUGGGCGUAAAGCGUGCGUAGACGGCUAUCUACGUCGGGUGUGAAAGCCCCGGGCUCAACCUGGGAAUUGCAUUCGAGACUGAAUAGCUAGGGUGCGGUAGAGGGAAGCGGAAUUUCCGGUGUAGCGGUGAAAUGCGUAGAUAUCGGAAGGAACAUCAGUGGCGAAAGCGGCUUCCUGGACCAGCACCGACGUUCAGGCACGAAAGCGUGGGGAGCAAACAGG
This 253-nucleotide ribosomal RNA is filed under the name uncultured bacterium. Its description in RNAcentral is "partial 16S ribosomal RNA". It matches the Rfam family "Bacterial small subunit ribosomal RNA", at positions 524 to 776 of the family's 1533-position model. The record is from RNAcentral.